This 282-nucleotide long non-coding RNA is filed under the name Homo sapiens (human). Its description in RNAcentral is "non-protein coding lnc-FABP2-4:1". The record is from RNAcentral. Lineage: Eukaryota; Metazoa; Chordata; Mammalia; Primates; Hominidae.
GGAGCAGGACGAAGGGGGAGGGUCUCGAGGCCGAGUCCUGUUCUUCUGAGGGACGGACCCCAGCUGGGGUGGAAAAGCAGUACCAGAGAGCCUCCGAGGCGCGCGGUGCCAACCAUGGAGCGGGCCGGCCCCAGCUUCGGGCAGCAGCGACAGCAGCAGCAGCCCCAGCAGCAGAAGCAGCAGCAGAGGGAUCAGGACUCGGUCGAAGCAUGGCUGGACGAUCACUGGGACUUUACCUUCUCAUACUUUGUUAGAAAAGCCACCAGGUAAGAAGAGGACCCA